CUUCAGGAGCAUUUCAGCAACUGUGUUUCCAAGAUGAUUUGAAUUGAAUACCGAGCACCUGUGAAUCCAAGCGUGGACCUUUGAGGGGUCUUUCUUGGCUUUUGAAGAAACCUCUACCACUUAUGAUGAUUCUGUUGAUGUAGAUGUUUCCAGUGAUAGCUUCUGGGAGUUUGGAAACAACAAGUGAGCAGUCAAGAGGAUUAAUGAUGGCCUCAUGAGCUAUAUCCACCAGCCCACCCUCAUGGAGAAGGCCAACUGAAGCAGCUAAUGCAGUGGGCCGAGUGAUGGAAGCAGCUCAUGGAAAAAGGCCCACAAUGUGGGACCAUAAAAAACGCCUGUGAUUUCUGAAGUGGAGAAGCUGGAGAGCACGUUCAUACAUAAUAUUGAACCGACAUUGUCCAUUUGUGAUCAAUGGAAAACAAGGCCUUCCCCAUAGUCCAGGAGUCAGUCAUUGCUAGACUCUGUUCAGAACAAAGAUUCCAGCUCCCUUUUUCUGCAUCACUUUGAAGAUAGGAAAACUACAGCAAAGGCAGGAAGCCUUUGUAGAUCCUUUUUAGUGAUAGCUACAUUAGGUGGGCAUAGCUUGACUGUGAAUGAGCAGAUACUCCUAAGUUAACAAUAGGAAAAGGUAGAACUCAAGUAACUGGGGCUCUCCCCUACUUUGACCCUUGCCAGAAAACAGAAGCCUUUUCUCUAAUUCUUUCUAGAGCAUCUUAAGUCCACCACCAGAUGGCAGAGGGUACCAAACAUUAAGGAAUUCUGCUCCUGAAGGGAAGCUGUUUGAAAGAUCCUCUGUCUUCAUGGAAAGCCCAAAAUGCCUUCUCUUUCCUUUUCUCCAUCCUUCUUGUAUUCAAGAGUUCAUUCUUAGGGUCUGAUGUCACCUGGAAGUUUCCUAGUAUGUAGACAACCACAUUGAAUGUUCCAGUGUUUUGUGAGAUGUAUGAUUCCAAAAGUGAUCCUGAAUUCUGAACAGCAGCAUGAAACUGAAAGUGAAAUCACAAAAGUAGGGGGGGGGGGAAUUUCAUUGAAAUUGCCAGGAAGAUGAAUGGUAAUGUACUGGGAAGCCUUCAACUGAGGCCAAGUAAUCUUACAAGGAAAUGAUGCAGAGGGUACAGAGCAAAGUUAAUCCACUUAGAGUCCACUAUGGAAAGGUUUUAUUGCAACAAAUAGAAAUACUAUUUAUUUAUUAUAUCAUUAUUGUGGCUAUUUAUCCCUUAUAUGGAAGAACAAAAUAAAGGUUACUACAC
Trichosurus vulpecula (common brushtail) is the source of this 1247-nucleotide long non-coding RNA. RefSeq lists it as uncharacterized. NCBI's taxonomy places the organism in Eukaryota, Metazoa, Chordata, Mammalia, Diprotodontia, Phalangeridae. The transcript is spliced from 3 exons. The record is from RefSeq and is a predicted model, not a curated record.